This 801-nucleotide ribosomal RNA is filed under the name Phyllactinia sp. MUMH 893. RNAcentral's name for it is "eukaryotic LSU rRNA". It matches the Rfam family "Eukaryotic large subunit ribosomal RNA", at positions 1 to 814 of the family's 3401-position model. Lineage: Eukaryota; Fungi; Ascomycota; Leotiomycetes; Helotiales; Erysiphaceae. The record is from RNAcentral.
UUGACCUCGAAUCAGGUAGGGAUACCCGCUGAACUUAAGCAUAUCAAUAAGCGGAGGAAAAGAAACCAACCGGGAUUACCCUAGUAACGGCGAGUGAAGCGGUAACAGCUCAAAUUUGAAAUCUGGCUCCCUGCGGAGUCCGAGUUGUAAUUUGUAGAAGAUGCUUUGGGUGCACGAUCCGGCCUAAGUGCCUUGGAACAGGACGUCGUAGAGGGUGAGAAUCCCGUAUGCGGCCGGUUUCGACGCCCGUGUAAAGCUCUUUCGACGAGUCGAGUUGUUUGGGAAUGCAGCUCAAAAUGGGUGGUAAAUUUCAUCUAAAGCUAAAUAUGGGCCAGAGACCGAUAGCGCACAAGUAGAGUGAUCGAAAGAUGAAAAGCACUUUGGAAAGAGAGUUAAACAGUACGUGAAAUUGUUGAAAGGGAAGCGCUUGCAACCAGACUUGGGCGUCGCUGAUCAUCCAAAGUUCUCUCUUUGGUGCACUCGACGACGCACAGGCCAGCAUCGGUUGGGGUGGUGGGAGAAAGACUGCAGGAACGUAGCUCUUUUCGGAGAGUGUUAUAGCCUGCGGUGCAAUACCGCCUACCUCGACCGAGGACCGCGCUUCGGCUAGGAUGCUGGCGUAAUGGUUGUAAGCGACCCGUCUUGAAACACGGACCAAGGAGUCUAACAUCUAUGCGAGUGUUUGGGUGCGAAACCCAUGCGCGAAAUGAAAGUGAACGUAGGUGAGAACCCUUUAAGGGGGCAUCAUCGACCGAUCCUGAUGUCUUCGGAUGGAUUUGAGUAAGAGCAUAACUGUUGGGA